GAUCAAGGACUGGAGAGCAGCUGAGGGAGCUGAGGGGGCUCAGCCUGAAGAAAACGAGGUCAGGGAGGACCUUCUCACACUCUGCAAC
Long non-coding RNA from Empidonax traillii (willow flycatcher), 88 nucleotides. RefSeq lists it as uncharacterized. The transcript is spliced from 3 exons. The record is from RefSeq and is a predicted model, not a curated record. Lineage: Eukaryota; Metazoa; Chordata; Aves; Passeriformes; Tyrannidae.